Solanum stenotomum is the source of this 257-nucleotide long non-coding RNA. RefSeq lists it as uncharacterized. Lineage: Eukaryota; Viridiplantae; Streptophyta; Magnoliopsida; Solanales; Solanaceae. The record is from RefSeq and is a predicted model, not a curated record. The transcript is spliced from 3 exons.
AAGAAUCCCAUUUUCUCAUAAUCUUAAUCUGUUCUAUUGGUGUUGUUGGUUCAAUCAAAAUGAACAUCUUUUCUAAGAAACCCAAUGCAAAAGAGCUGCUUUGGGAGAGUAGAAGAGAACUGACUCAUGCCACCAGAGAUGUGAAGACCGAGUGGGAGUCCAGUUCCUGAGGAAGGAAGUUGAUCGUGCAGAAGAUGAUGGCCUCACUCAACGAUUUUGACAGGUUUAAGCUCAUGUUGGCAAAGAUCAAGGUGUGA